GAGAUGGACGAACAUACUCCGCGCCCUUGAUCGGGGUUUACCAUGGGACCCAGGUCCCCCAGUUCCUCAUCAGCACCAGCAACUACCUCUACCUCCUCUUCUCCACCGAUAAGAGUCACUCGGACAUCGGCUUCCAGCUCCGCUAUGAGACUAUAACCCUGCAGUCUGACCACUGUCUGGAUCCGGGGAUCCCCGUAAAUGGGCAGCGUCACGGAAAUGACUUCUAUGUGGGCGCUCUGGUGACUUUCAGCUGCGACUCGGGCUACACAUUAAGUGAUGGGGAGCCCCUGGAGUGUGAGCCCAACUUCCAGUGGAGCCGGGCCCUGCCCAGCUGUGAAGCCCUCUGCGGUGGCUUCAUUCAAGGCUCCAGCGGGACCAUCUUGUCACCAGGGUUCCCCGACUUUUACCCCAACAACUUGAACUGCACCUGGAUGAUCGAAAC
Myotis myotis is the source of this 442-nucleotide long non-coding RNA. RefSeq lists it as uncharacterized. Lineage: Eukaryota; Metazoa; Chordata; Mammalia; Chiroptera; Vespertilionidae. The record is from RefSeq and is a predicted model, not a curated record. The transcript is spliced from 3 exons.